RNAcentral lists this ribosomal RNA (492 nucleotides) under uncultured bacterium. Its description in RNAcentral is "partial 16S ribosomal RNA". It matches the Rfam family "Bacterial small subunit ribosomal RNA", at positions 29 to 507 of the family's 1533-position model. The record is from RNAcentral.
AGUGAACGCUGGCGGUAGGCCUAACACAUGCAAGUCGAACGGCAGCACAGUAAGAGCUUGCUCUUACGGGUGGCGAGUGGCGGACGGGUGAGGAAUACAUCGGAAUCUACUUUUUCGUGGGGGAUAACGUAGGGAAACUUACGCUAAUACCGCAUACGACCUACGGGUGAAAGCAGGGGAUCUUAGGACCUUGCGCGAUUGAAUGAGCCGAUGUCGGAUUAGCUAGUUGGCGGGGUAAAGGCCCACCAAGGCGACGAUCCGUAGCUGGUCUGAGAGGAUGAUCAGCCACACUGGAACUGCGACACGGUCCAGACUCCUACGGGAGGCAGCAGUGGGGAAUAUUGGACAAUGGGCGCAAGCCUGAUCCAGCCAUACCGCGUGGGUGAAGAAGGCCUUCGGGUUGUAAAGCCCUUUUGUUGGGAAAGAAAAGCAGCAGGUUAAUACCCCGCUGUUCUGACGGUACCCAAAGAAUAAGCACCGGCUAACUUCGUG